Molecule: long non-coding RNA, 1994 nt
Organism: Vespa mandarinia (Asian giant hornet)
Lineage: Eukaryota; Metazoa; Arthropoda; Insecta; Hymenoptera; Vespidae
Source: RefSeq, a predicted model, not a curated record
GAUACGCCGCAUUAUAACGCGAAAGGCAAUAAACGUAUGUCGGUGUGUAAUUAGUGAUUACUGUGUAAAUGUUAAUUCUAAAUAGAAUGUUUCUAAUUCUAAAUAGAAAUCGUCGUUUGACAAUUAGUGAGAUAAAGAGAUCUACUACAUCUGUUGUACAUUCGAUCAACCAUUGUCAAUGAAAAGCUGUCGAAAGCAAUAAAGCGAAAAAAGAAAGAUGAAGAUGAAUAUACAGACAGAAACGUCGCGUCGUAGAGAAAGGAGAGAAAGGAAAAGAGAAACGGAGAAUGCUCCACGGAAUAAUACGUAAUGCGAGAUACGCUUGCUCGGAUACGUCGUGAGAAGAAACGCGACGUGCAUUCUACUCCUUCGUACAUUUAACUAUAUGUUCGUACAAGUGCAUAUACGUAUAUGUGAUUGAAAGAGUAAAUCAACUACUUCAACGAGUGAGUACGUUGUAUUCGUGGUAAACGAUCCAAGGAGACACCGGACUGAAACACCUUUGACGUUAAGCCGAAGCCACCGAAGAGGAUCACUGAUUGCAACUGACACCAGUGCUGCUGGCUUCAUGAAACGAGCGAUCCCCCAAAGUACGCUGCUCUGUCUCUGUACUCUGAUCCCCCAAAGUACGUCCUAUCGAUUUUAUGCGAACUGUUUCCAUCACUCACUCGGAGAACUUUCCGACGAAGUGAAGUAUAUCGUCUGGACACUCGUUCCAAUUCUAUUUGAUUUGCAACGGGAUAUACAUACAUACAUAUAUAUAUAUAUGUAUGUAUACCUAUGUAUAUAUGUGUGUAUGUAUAUAUGAAAUAUAUAACAUAUAUAUAUAUGAUGUACGAUCGAAUCGAUUCUAUAAUUUUGAUAAAUAUAUCGAUAAAAUACGAUCGGAAAGUAUUUUAUCGGAGGAAUAAAAUGGUAAAUGUAGGAUAAUAAAACUAUAAUUCUAAACGUUUAAUAGUUUUGUCAUGGAGCAAAACAACGUUCGUGGUACUAAAGGCGAAGAUUACGAAGGAAUUCAGGAGCGUGUCCACGACGUCGUUCCGUUUUCUCGAGAAUUUAGGAUCCUCUUAACGAGUUUAAGCUCUUCCGUCCCGUUUUCCAAGAGAGUUGAAGAACGAGAACGAGAGAAACAGAGAAAAUUAGAGAAAGAGAGAGAGAGAGAGAGAGAGAGAGAGAGAGAGAGAGGAAAUAAAGUAGGGAGAGAACGAUUCUCACAGCAUCCCAGUCAACCAAUUUCUACCUUCGUACGAGUUCCACUCGUUUAUCCAAGACGAGUAGUCAGGAAUUCACGUCUUCGUGGUCCCUGCAUCAUCAUCACCGUCAGUCGCGAUAAUGAGGACAUCUUGUGCUACUAACAAGACGAGUAUCACACUUCCUGCAUCCCUUCUGACUUGUCCUUUCCCUUCUUCCUUCAUUUCUUCAUCGUUCCUACCUUCCUUCCUUUCUUCCUUCCUUCCUUCCUGCCUGCCUGCCUGCUUGCUUGCUUGCUUGCCUGCCUGCCUGCCUGCCUGCCUGCCUGCCUGCCUGACUGUCUGACUGCCUACCUAUCUACUUUCGAAGAAGCACAAAGCUCUGCUUUAGAACGGGGGAAUAUUAUAAUGUCUCUCUGGCUUACAAAUGUGCUUACUUGGCUUUACCUCGUCGAAAUCUCAUGGCACGUCGUCGGGAGAACGGCGAUCUGAUUUCCUCUUCUUGGUAUAUCUGGGUAUAUCGCGACGGUGAUUUCGCACGAGAAUCGCGAGGUUUAGUUUUGCGAGGAUGGAGACGAUGUGUAAAUGCCUCGCUAAAAGGUCUAUUAGAGGGAAGGGGAGAGAGAGAGAGAGAGAGAGAGAGAGAGAGAGAGAGAGAGACAGUCAGCUUCCUGAAACACGUGCUAUUCUCGUUUUUGCUAUAACUAUACAAUACGAGUUCCUAGAAAUUGAACGACUAACACGGGAAAUGAAUUACUUCAUUUUGAUACAGCAUAUUUCUAACAAAGAAACUAAUAAGAAAUU